GUACUGAUGAAGAGUCGCAAACAAGGACGAAACAGCUUUCCAGUAC
This is a non-coding RNA of Trichobilharzia regenti, 46 nucleotides long. Lineage: Eukaryota; Metazoa; Platyhelminthes; Trematoda; Strigeidida; Schistosomatidae. The record is from Rfam.